AAUUCAAUAAGUGACAAUUGUCUUUCUAAUAAAAGUUAUUUUCUUUUCCUUUACUUUCUUGUUAUUUACUUUUAUGCUUUUCUCCUUCUUCUCCACGUCUACGAUGAACAUGAGUGAGUAGACUUCUCUUGUCUUGGGAUUGUUGGAUAAGUCUUAAUGACAUAAUCCUAAUCAAACCAAGUUAUUGACCCUGAUCUCUUAUGUAACCAAGGGUUUGAUAAUUGUUAAUCCAUCAUCUCAAAUAUCAAUUCAUAAAACGAAAGUGGAGCUUUGAUAUUCGAACAAGUGAAUUUAGACAAGGUUACAAAGGCAGCGAAAUAGUCUUUGCAAUCUUUGAGACAUUUCAAUCUUCAAGGGAACUAAUAGCAAUCAAGUCAGCGAAAUAGGCUUGUCUAUUAAAGGAACCAAAAUCUAAUAGUAAUCAAGUCAACGAAAUAGGCUUGGUUGCUAGAGGAACAAAAGAGAAACUGUCUUUAGAAGUUAGGUCUAACAUAAGGUUCUAGGUUUACUAGUUUGGUUUGAGAAGGAUUUGUCAUUAAGGUGAACCAAUAGUCCCAAGGCUCUUUUUAUAUUAUUAUCUUUCAACCGUUUGAAAACCCCAAUUUUACAACUUGGUUCUCUUCUAAUCAUCGACUAAAGUUAAUUGAAUUAAACAACUCCCUAUCGGAACGAAACUCUUAUUUUACUACUUCGAUAGAACCGUACACUUGCGGUUUUAUCCCAUCAAGUUUUUGGCGCCGCUGCUGGGGAGUUGACUAAUUUAAUUAACAUUUUCUUUAUGAUUAGAAUCUUUUCUUUUCCCUUUUACUCCUACUUCUUUCUUUCUUUUGUUUUACCGUUAACUUCUUGGAUUCUCAAUUUCUUAUGCAAAGAAGUAAAAGUCUCGGAGAAUUUAUUCCUGAGAUCAAAAGAUAUUUGCAUAAGUAAAGGAGAGAGGCACAAAAUAAUAUUGCCAUGGUUGAACGCACUCUCAAAGAGUAUGCAACACCUUCUACGGAAGAGCCAGAAGCUAUUAUUGUGUACCCGACGGUUGAGGGUAACAACUUCGAAAUCAAGCCUGCACUACUCAAUUUGGUGCAGCAAAAUCAGUUUUCUGGAUCACCCACUGAGGAUCCAAAUCUCCAUAUUACUUCCUUCCUAAGACUCAGUGACACUAUAAAAGAGAACCAAGAAGCCUUAAGACUUCAUCUCUUUACCUUUUCCUUAAGGGAUAGAGCUAGCGCUUGUUUCCAUUCCCUCGAAGUUGGUUCCAUCACUUCAUAGGAUCAAAUGAGGCGAGCAUUCCUUGCCCGAUUCUUUCCCCCCUCUAAAACCACUAAACUAAGAGAUCAAAUCACGCGGUUCAAUCAAAAAGAUGGGGAGUCUCUUUAUGAUGUGUGGGAGCGUUUCAAGGAAAUGCUUAGACUUUCUCCCCACCAUGGUUUAGAAAAGUGGCUCAUAGUCCAAACUUUUUAUAAUGGCCUAACAUAUACCACUAAGAUGUCUGUUGAUGUAGCUGCAGGUGGAGCCUUGAUGAACAAUAACUAUACGGAGGCUUACGCUUUGAUUGAAGACAUGGCUCAGAAUCACUACCAAUGGACCAACGAGAGAGCCAUCACUUCGAAACCCUCUAAAAAAGAGCCAGUUAUGUACGAAGUCUCUGAUUAUGAUCACCUUGCUGCUAAGGUGGAUGCACUAACCAAAAAAAUUUGAAAAAUUUAAUGUUAGUGUAGUCACACCUACUCCUACAUCUCCUCAUUGUGAAAUCUGUGGUAUAUUCGGUCAUAUUGGUGUUGAUUGUCAGUUAGGUAGUGUUACUAAUAGUAUUGAGCAAAUCAACUAUGCUCAAUACAACCAAGGAAUGAGGCCUAACCAAAACUUUUAUAAAAAUCCUCAAGAUUCCUAUGGACAAGUAGCACCACCUAGCUAUACAAACAAUCAGAGGGUGGCUCAGAAAUCAAGUUUGGAAAUUUUGUUGGAAAAUUGCAUGAUGAAUCAAAAUAACUAACUUCAAGAACUAUAAAAUCAAACGAGAUUUCUGAACGACUCUCUCUCCAAACUCAAUACCAAGGUAGAUUCUAUCGCCACACACACUAAAAUACUUGAGACCCAAAUCUCCCAAGUGGCACAACAAGUGGCCACCUCUUCUCAAACACCGGGAGUCUUUCCUGGUCAAACCGAAGCCAAUCCAAAGGCUCAUGUCAAUGCUAUUUCUUUCGGGGGUAGUAAGUUAGAAGAGACCGUUGCUAAAGCUAAAAGUACCAAGGGAGAGAGUGUUAAGCUUUUAGGUGAGAAAGAUGUGAUCGAGAGUGAGAAACCGCUUGAUAAGAACAAAGCCCCUUCCCGAUUAAGUCUUGUUAAGCUUAACUUGGAGGCUCAAUUCAAUAAAUUUGUGAACAUACUUAAGAAGAUUUUCAAAAAGAUUCCCUUUGCUGAAGCUUUGUCUCGUAUGCCUCUAUAUGCAAAGUUUUUAAAAGAAUUUUUUUCAAAGAAAAAGGCUAUAGAUCACAAUGAGACAAUAGCUUUGACAAGGGAAAGUAGUGCAAUCAUCAAGAAGCCACCUACAAAGCUUCGAGAUCUAGGUAGUUUUGCCAUCCCUUUUGUGAUAGGGACUGAGACCUUAGACAAAGCCUUGUGUGACUUAGGUGCUAGUGUAAGUUUGUUUCCCUUAUCCCUCUUUAAAAAGAUGGAAAUAGGAGAGUUGAAACCUACCGAAACAACAUUGAAGUUAGCUGAUCGUUCUACUAUCCAACCUGUCAGAAGCUUGGCACGGCCGUGCCACCUCCCAGAACAACUUUUGCUACUUUUGCUUAUAUUUUAAGCUACUCUAUUUUAGUUUUACCAAAAAGCCCGUUGCUUGUGGAACAUUCUAGUGAUGUAAUUGCUUAGAUUCUAAGUCGAAUGUAAACUAUAAAUAGAGUAGCUAGCCAUCAUAAAUAUUCAUCUUUUCUUGGAAUUCAAUAAGUGACAAUUUUCUUUCUAAUAAAAGUUCUUUUCUUUUCCUUUACUUUCUUAUUAUUUACUUUUAUGCUUUUCUUCUUCUUCUUCUCAUGUCUACGAUGAACAUGAGUGAGUAGACUUCUCUUGUCUUGGGAUUGUUGGAUAAGUCUUAAUGACAUAAUCCUAAUCAAACCA
Molecule: long non-coding RNA, 3114 nt
Filed under: Medicago truncatula (barrel medic)
Lineage: Eukaryota; Viridiplantae; Streptophyta; Magnoliopsida; Fabales; Fabaceae
Description: lncRNA gene36084
Source: RNAcentral